This 618-nucleotide ribosomal RNA is filed under the name uncultured Actinomycetes bacterium. RNAcentral's name for it is "bacterial SSU rRNA". It matches the Rfam family "Bacterial small subunit ribosomal RNA", at positions 252 to 866 of the family's 1533-position model. Lineage: Bacteria; Bacillati; Actinomycetota; Actinomycetes. The record is from RNAcentral.
GUGGGGUAACGGCCUACCAAGGCGAUUACGGGUAGCCGGCCUGAGAGGGCGACCGGCCACACUGGGACUGAGACACGGCCCAGACUCCUGCGGGAGGCAGCAGUGGGGAAUAUUGCGCAAUGGGCGAAAGCCUGACGCAGCGACGCCGCGUGGGGGAUGACGGCCUUCGGGUUGUAAACCUCUUUUACCACCAACGCAGGCUCCGGGUUCUCCCGGGGUUGACGGUAGGUGGGGAAUAAGGACCGGCUAACUACGUGCCAGCAGCCGCGGUAAUACGUAGGGUCCGAGCGUUGUCCGGAAUUAUUGGGCGUAAAGAGCUCGUAGGCGGCGUGUCGCGUCUGCUGUGAAAGACCGGGGCUUAACUCCGGUUCUGCAGUGGAUACGGGCAUGCUAGAGGUAGGUAGGGGAGACUGGAAUUCCUGGUGUAGCGGUGAAAUGCGCAGAUAUCAGGAGGAACACCGGUGGCGAAGGCGGGUCUCUGGGCCGAUACUGACGCUGAGGAGCGAAAGCGUGGGGAGCGAACAGGAUUAGAUACCCUGGUAGUCCACGCCGUAAACGUUGGGCGCUAGGUGUGGGGAACCUUCCACGUUCUCCGUGCCGCAGCUAACGCAUUAAGCG